ACGUUGGCGGCGUGGAUUAGGCAUGCAAGUCGAGCGAGAAGGUUCCUUCGGGAACUGGACAGCGGCGAAAGGGAGAGUAACGCGUAGAUAUCUGCCUCGAGGCCCGGGAUAGCGGCGGGAAACUGCCGGUAAUACCGGAUAACAUCUCCGGAUCAAAGGUGUGAUUCCGCCUCGAGAUGAGUCUGCGUCCUAUUAAUGCUUGUUGGUGUGGUAACGGCGCACCAAGGCGAAGAUGGGUACCGGGUGUGAGAGCAUGGCCCGGCUCACUGGGACUGAGACACUGCCCAGACACCUACGGGUGGCUGCAGUCGAGAAUCUUCGGCAAUGGGCGAAAGCCUGACCGAGCGACGCCGCGUGCGGGAUGAAGGCCCUCGGGUUGUAAACCGCUGUCAGUAGGGAGCAAAUCUCUUGGGGUUAUCCCCUUGAGUUGAGCGAUCUUCAGAGGAAGUACGGGCUAAGUUCGUGCCAGCAGCCGCGGUAAGACGAACCGUACGAACGUUAUUCGGAAUCACUGGGCUUAAAGAGUCCGUAGGCGGCCGUGUAGGUGGGAUGUGAAAGCCCUCGUCUCAACCGAGGAAUUGCGUUCCAAACCACAUGGCUUGAGGAGGAUAGAGGUGAGCGGAACUGAUGGUGGAGCGGUGAAAUGCGUUGAUAUCAUCAGGAACACCAGAGGCGAAGGCGGCUCACUGGGUCCUUUCUGACGCUGAGGGACGAAAGCUAGGGGAGCAAACGGGAUUAGAUACCCCGGUAGUCCUAGCUGUAAACGAUGAGCACUAGAUCGAGGGGACUUCCACAUCUUCUCGGUCGUAGCGAAAGUGUUAAGUGCUCCGCCUGGGGAGUAUGUCGCAAGGCUAAACUU
Molecule: ribosomal RNA, 859 nt
Filed under: Planctomycetes bacterium SCGC AAA300-K10
Lineage: Bacteria; Pseudomonadati; Planctomycetota
Description: SSU rRNA
Rfam family: Bacterial small subunit ribosomal RNA
Source: RNAcentral